RNAcentral lists this ribosomal RNA (253 nucleotides) under uncultured bacterium. RNAcentral describes it as "partial 16S ribosomal RNA". It matches the Rfam family "Bacterial small subunit ribosomal RNA", at positions 524 to 776 of the family's 1533-position model. The record is from RNAcentral.
UACGGAGGGUGCGAGCGUUAAUCGGAAUUACUGGGCGUAAAGCGCACGCAGGCGGUUUGUUAAGCNAGAUGUGAAAGCCCCGGGCUCAACCUGGGAUGGUCAUUUAGAACUGGCAGACUAGAGUCUUGGAGAGGGGAGUGGAAUUCCAGGUGUAGNGGUGAAAUGCGUAGAUAUCUGGAGGAACAUCAGUGGCGAAGGCGACUCCCUGGCCAAAGACUGACGCUCANGUGCGAAAGUGUGGGGAGCGAACAGG